Molecule: transfer RNA, 86 nt
Filed under: Candidatus Jorgensenbacteria bacterium CG_4_10_14_0_8_um_filter_39_13
Lineage: Bacteria; Candidatus Joergenseniibacteriota
Also listed under: 3 other names
Description: tRNA-Leu
Rfam family: tRNA
About the family: Transfer RNA (tRNA) molecules are approximately 80 nucleotides in length. Their secondary structure includes four short double-helical elements and three loops (D, anti-codon, and T loops). Further hydrogen bonds mediate the characteristic L-shaped molecular structure. tRNAs have two regions of fundamental functional importance: the anti-codon, which is responsible for specific mRNA codon recognition, and the 3' end, to which the tRNAs corresponding amino acid is attached (by aminoacyl-tRNA synthetases). tRNAs cope with the degeneracy of the genetic code in two manners: having more than one tRNA (with a specific anti-codon) for a particular amino acid; and 'wobble' base-pairing, i.e. permitting non-standard base-pairing at the 3rd anti-codon position.
Source: RNAcentral
GCCCGGGUGGCGGAAUGGUUUACGCAGAGGACCUAAAAUCCUCGACCCGAAAGGGUUUGUGGGUCCGACUCCCACCCCGGGCACAA